GGGGAAUUUUUGGACAAUGGGCGAAAGCCUGAUCCAGCAAUGCCGCGUGUGUGAAGAAGGCCUUCGGGUUGUAAAGCACUUUUGUCCGGAAAGAAAUCCUUGGCUCUAAUACAGUCGGGGGAUGACGGUACCGGAAGAAUAAGCACCGGCUAACUACGUGCCAGCAGCCGCGGUAAUACGUAGGGUGCAAGCGUUAAUCGGAAUUACUGGGCGUAAAGCGUGCGCAGGCGGUUUGCUAAGACCGAAUGUGAAAAUCCCCGGGCUCAACCUGGGAACUGCAUUGGUGACUGGCAGGCUAGAGUAUGGCAGAGGGGGGUAGAAAUUCCACGUGUAGCAGUGAAAAUGCGUAGAGAUGUGGAGGAAUACCGAUGGCGAAGGCAGCCCCCUGGGGCCAAAUACUGACGCUCAUGCACG
Molecule: ribosomal RNA, 414 nt
Filed under: uncultured bacterium
Lineage: Bacteria
Description: partial 16S ribosomal RNA
Rfam family: Bacterial small subunit ribosomal RNA
Source: RNAcentral